GACGAACGCUGGCGGCGUGCUUAACACAUGCAAGUCGAACGGAAAGGCCCUGCUUUUGUGGGGUGCUCGAGUGGCGAACGGGUGAGUAACACGUGAGUAACCUGCCCUUGACUUUGGGAUAACUUCAGGAAACUGGGGCUAAUACCGGAUAGGAGCUCCUGCUGCAUGUUGGGGGUUGGAAAGUUUCGGCGGUUGGGGAUGGACUCGCGGCUUAUCAGCUUGUUGGUGGGGUAGUGGCUUACCAAGGCUUUGACGGGUAGCCGGCCUGAGAGGGUGACCGGCCACAUUGGGACUGAGAUACGGCCCAGACGCCUACGGGAGGCAGCAGGGGGGAAUAUUGCACAAUGGGCGGAAGCCUGAUGCAGCAACGCCGCGUGCGGGAUGACGGCCUUCGGGUUGUAAACCGCUUUCGCCUGUGACGAAGCGUGAGUGACGGUAAUGGGUAAAGAAGCACCGGCUAACUACGUG
RNAcentral lists this ribosomal RNA (468 nucleotides) under uncultured bacterium. RNAcentral describes it as "partial 16S ribosomal RNA". It matches the Rfam family "Bacterial small subunit ribosomal RNA", at positions 28 to 507 of the family's 1533-position model. The record is from RNAcentral.